Molecule: ribosomal RNA, 274 nt
Filed under: uncultured bacterium
Lineage: Bacteria
Description: partial 16S ribosomal RNA
Rfam family: Bacterial small subunit ribosomal RNA
Source: RNAcentral
AUACGGAGGGUGUAAGCGUUAUCCGGAUUCAUUGGGUUUAAAGGGUGCGCAGGCGGAAUGAUAAGUCAGUGGUGAAAUCCUACAGCUUAACUGUAGAACUGCCAUUGAUACUGUCAUUCUUGAGUACACUUGAAGUGGGCGGAAUGUAUCAUGUAGCGGUGAAAUGCAUAGAUAUGAUACAGAACUCCGAUAGCGAAGGCAGCUCACUAAAUUGUAACUGACGCUCAGGCACGAAAGCGUGGGGAGCAAACAGGAUUAGAAACCCGGGUAGUCC